AAGUGUUACAGCUCUUUUAGAAUGUGUCUGGGCAGGGUUUCUGGUUUUCACUGUGAAACCCUUC
Molecule: small nuclear RNA, 64 nt
Organism: Mandrillus leucophaeus (drill)
Lineage: Eukaryota; Metazoa; Chordata; Mammalia; Primates; Cercopithecidae
Gene: U7
Rfam family: U7 small nuclear RNA
About the family: Animal histone pre-mRNAs are spliced by a different mechanism than nuclear pre-mRNAs and self-splicing introns. This processing involves the U7 snRNP, which contains only one RNA species: U7.
Source: Ensembl